GAGGUUGUGGCUCAGUGGUAGAGCGCUCACCUAGUACAUGCGAGGGCCUGAGUUUGAUCCUUAGCACUACA
Molecule: transfer RNA, 71 nt
Filed under: Marmota monax (woodchuck)
Lineage: Eukaryota; Metazoa; Chordata; Mammalia; Rodentia; Sciuridae
Description: tRNA.Thr
Source: RNAcentral